GCGUGCCAUUAGGUAGUUGGUGAGGUAACGGCUCACCAAGCCGACGAUGGCUACGGGGUCUUAAAGGAUGGUCCCGCACACUGGUACUGAGACACGGACCAGACUCCUACGGGAGGCAGCAGUGAGGAAUAUUGGUCAAUGGGGGCAACCCUGAACCAGCCAUGCCGCGUGAAGGAAGACGGCCCUAUGGGUUGUAAACUUCUUUUGUACGGGAAUAACCACUCCUACGUGUAGGGGCUUGAAGGUACUGUACGAAUAAGCAUCGGCUAACUCCGUGCCAGCAGCCGCGGUAAUACGGAGGAUGCAGGCGUUAUCCGGAUUUAUUAGGUUUAAAGGGUGCGUAGGCGGCCCGGUAAGUCAGUGGUGAAAGUUUGCGGCUUAACCGUGAAAUUGCCAUUGAUACUGUCGGGCUAGAAUAUGGUGGAGGUAGGCGGAAUGUGUAGUGUAGCGGUGAAAUGCUUAGAUAUUACACAGAACACCGAUUGCGAAGGCAGCUUACUAUACCAUUAUUGACGCUGAGGCACGAAAGCGUGGGGAGCGAACAGGAUUAGAUACCCUGGUAGUCCACGCUGUAAACUAUGAUAACUGGUUGUGUGCGAUAUACAGUGCGCGACUGAGGGAAACCAUUAA
Molecule: ribosomal RNA, 630 nt
Filed under: uncultured bacterium
Lineage: Bacteria
Description: bacterial SSU rRNA
Rfam family: Bacterial small subunit ribosomal RNA
Source: RNAcentral